AGGACGAACGCUGGCGGCGUGCUUAACACAUGCAAGUCGAGCGGUAAGGCCUCUUCGGGGGUACACGAGCGGCGAACGGGUGAGUAACACGUGGGCAACCUGCCCUCAGCUCUGGGAUAACUCCGGGAAACCGGUGCUAAUACUGGAUAUCGACUUCUGCUCGCAUGGGUGGUUGUUGAAAGUUUUUCGGCUGGGGAUGGGCCCGCGGCCUAUCAGCUUGUUGGUGGGGUGAUGGCCUACCAAGGCGACGACGGGUA
RNAcentral lists this ribosomal RNA (257 nucleotides) under uncultured bacterium. Its description in RNAcentral is "partial small subunit ribosomal RNA". It matches the Rfam family "Bacterial small subunit ribosomal RNA", at positions 26 to 285 of the family's 1533-position model. The record is from RNAcentral.